Molecule: transfer RNA, 73 nt
Filed under: Dryococelus australis
Lineage: Eukaryota; Metazoa; Arthropoda; Insecta; Phasmatodea; Phasmatidae
Description: tRNA-OTHER
Rfam family: tRNA
About the family: Transfer RNA (tRNA) molecules are approximately 80 nucleotides in length. Their secondary structure includes four short double-helical elements and three loops (D, anti-codon, and T loops).
Source: RNAcentral
GUCCGGCUAGCUCAGUCGGUAGAGAAUAAGACUCUUAAUCUCAGGGUCGUGGGCUCGAGCCCCACGCUAAGCG